GCCACUGUAGCUCAUCAGGUUAGAGCGACGGUCUCUUAAACCGUAGGGAGCAGGUUCAAAUCCUGUCAAUGGCUCCG
RNAcentral lists this transfer RNA (77 nucleotides) under Myxococcales bacterium. RNAcentral describes it as "tRNA-Lys". It matches the Rfam family "tRNA". From Rfam's summary of the family: Transfer RNA (tRNA) molecules are approximately 80 nucleotides in length. Their secondary structure includes four short double-helical elements and three loops (D, anti-codon, and T loops). The record is from RNAcentral. Lineage: Bacteria; Pseudomonadati; Myxococcota; Myxococcia; Myxococcales.